Molecule: ribosomal RNA, 983 nt
Filed under: Crypthecodinium cohnii
Lineage: Eukaryota; Dinophyceae; Gonyaulacales; Crypthecodiniaceae
Description: partial Eukaryotic large subunit ribosomal RNA
Rfam family: Eukaryotic large subunit ribosomal RNA
Source: RNAcentral
GACCUCAGAUCAGGCAGGAUUACCCGCUGAACUUAAGCAUAUCAAUAAGCGGAGGAAAAGAAACUAACAAGGAUUCCCCUAGUAGCGGCGAGCGAAGCGGGAAGAGCUCAAAUUUAUAAUCUGGCACCUUCGGUGUCCGAGUUGUAAUCUCUAGAAGUGUUUUCCGCGUUGGACCGCACACAAGUCUGUUGGAAUACAGCGGCACAGUGGUGAUACCCCCGUACACGGUGCGGACGCCCAGCGCUUUGUGAUACACUUUCAAUGAGUCGAGUUGUUUGGGAAUGCAGCUCAAAUUGGGUGGUAAAUUCCAUCUAAAGCUAAAUAUUGGCGAGAGACCGAUAGCGAACAAGUACCGUGAGGGAAAGAUGAAAAGCACUUUGGAAAGAGAGUUAACAGUACGUGAAAUUGUUGGAAGGGAAACGCUUGAAGUCAGACUUGCUGUUCGGAGUUCAGCCGCAAGGUGUACUCUCCGAGUUGCAGGCCAGCAUCAGUUUUUCGGGGUGGAAAAUCACGGUUUGAAGGUAGCAGUUUCGGCUGUGUUAUAGCUUUCCGUUGGAUACAUCCUGGGGGACUGAGGAACGCAGUGUGCUUUUAGCGGAGGUUUCGACCUCUUCACACUUAGGAUGCUGGUGGAAUGGCUUUAAACGACCCGUCUUGUAACACGGACCAAGGAGUCUAACAUGCUUGCGAGUAUUUGGGUGUCAAACCCGGAUGCGUAAUGAAAGUGAAUGGAGGUGGGAAGCGCAAGCUGCACCAUCGACCGAUCUGGAUUUUUUAAGAUGGAUUUGAGUAAGAGCACGUAUGUUGGGACCCGAAAGAUGGUGAACUAUGCCUGAAUAGGGCGAAGCCAGAGGAAACUCUGGUGGAGGCUCGUAGCGGUUCUGACGUGCAAAUCGAUCGUCAAAUUUGGGUAUAGGGGCGAAAGACUAAUCGAACCAUCUAGUAGCUGGUUCCUGCCGAAGUUUCCCUCAGGAUAGCAGAAA